UAAGAAACUAUGAUGGGGAAUAGUAAAAUGGAUUUGCGCCUUUCCAGAGAGGAAGCCGAUUGCUGAGAGGUUUCCAGGCUGCACAUUUGAACCUGCCCCGGAGUUCUGUAUCGGGCAUAUUAGCGAAGAUACGGCGGAAUGUUCCGUUAUACGAUAAGUGCGCAGGGAUUUCCUUGCGAAAUAGGGUGGUACCGCCAGGCCAUGGUCCCUUUU
This 213-nucleotide non-coding RNA is filed under the name Bacillus sp. (in: firmicutes). RNAcentral describes it as "Bacillus sp. T-box sequence". It matches the Rfam family "T-box leader". From Rfam's summary of the family: Uncharged tRNA acts as the effector for transcription antitermination of genes in the T-box leader family. T-boxes are found upstream of many aminoacyl-tRNA synthetase genes and some amino acid biosynthetic genes usually in Gram-positive bacteria. The anticodon of a specific tRNA base pairs to a specifier sequence within the T-box motif, and the NCCA acceptor tail of the tRNA base pairs to a conserved bulge in the T-box antiterminator hairpin. Lineage: Bacteria; Bacillati; Bacillota; Bacilli; Caryophanales; Bacillaceae. The record is from RNAcentral.